Molecule: ribosomal RNA, 253 nt
Filed under: uncultured bacterium
Lineage: Bacteria
Description: partial 16S ribosomal RNA
Rfam family: Bacterial small subunit ribosomal RNA
Source: RNAcentral
UACGUAGGGUGCAAGCGUUAAUCGGAAUUACUGGGCGUAAAGCGUGCGUAGGUGGUUUUUUAAGUCCGUUGUGAAAGCCCUGGGCUCAACCUGGGAAUGGCAGUGGAUACUGGAAAGCUAGAGUGCGGUAGAGGGUAGUGGAAUUCCCGGUGUAGCAGUGAAAUGCGUAGAGAUCGGGAGGAACACCAGUGGCGAAGGCGGCUACCUGGACCAGCACUGACACUGAGGCACGAAAGCCAGGGGAGCAAACGGG